CCUACGGGAGGCAGCAGUGAGGAAUAUUGGUCAAUGGCCGGGAGCCUGAACCAGCCAAGUCGCGUGAGGGAAGACGGUCCUAUGGAUUGUAAACCUCUUUUGGCGGGGAGCAAUGCCGGGCACGCGUGCCCGGAGGGAGAGUACCCGCAGAAUAAGCAUCGGCUAACUCCGUGCCAGCAGCCGCGGUAAUACGGAGGAUGCGAGCGUUAUCCGGAUUUAUUGGGUUUAAAGGGUGCGUAGGCGGAUUUUUAAGUCAGCGGUAAAAUUUCGGGGCUCAACCCGGGCCGGCCGUUGAAACUGGGGAUCUUGAGUGGGCGAGAAGUAUGCGGAAUGCGUGGUGUAGCGGUGAAAUGCAUAGAUAUCACGCAGAACUCCGAUUGCGAAGGCAGCAUACCGGCGCCCGACUGACGCUGAGGCACGAAAGCGUGGGGAGCGAACAGGAUUAGAUACCCCUGUAGUC
Molecule: ribosomal RNA, 460 nt
Filed under: uncultured bacterium
Lineage: Bacteria
Description: partial 16S ribosomal RNA
Rfam family: Bacterial small subunit ribosomal RNA
Source: RNAcentral